GGGUUGUGAGGUUAAGCGACUAAGCGUACACGGUGGAUGCCCUGGCAGUCAGAGGCGAUGAAGGGCGUGCUAAUCUGCGAUAAGCGCCGGUAAGGUGAUAUGAACCGUUAUAACCGGCGAUACCCGAAUGGGGAAACCCAGUGUGACUCGUCACACUAUCAUUAACUGAAUCCAUAGGUUAAUGAGGCGAACCGGGGGAACUGAAACAUCUAAGUACCCCGAGGAAAAGAAAUCAACCGAGAUUCCCCCAGUAGCGGCGAGCGAACGGGGAGGAGCCCAGAGCCUGAAUCAGCAUGUGUGUUAGUGGAAGCGUCUGGAAAGGCGCGCGAUACAGGGUGACAGCCCCGUACACAAAAGCGCAUGUGCUGUGAGCUCGAUGAGUAGGGCGGGACACGUGGUAUCCUGUCUGAAUAUGGGGGGACCAUCCUCCAAGGCUAAAUACUCCUGACUGACCGAUAGUGAACCAGUACCGUGAGGGAAAGGCGAAAAGAACCCCGGCGAGGGGAGUGAAAAAGAACCUGAAACCGUGUACGUACAAGCAGUGGGAGCACCCUUUGGGUGUGACUGCG
This 569-nucleotide ribosomal RNA is filed under the name Salmonella enterica. RNAcentral's name for it is "partial 23S ribosomal RNA". It matches the Rfam family "Bacterial large subunit ribosomal RNA", at positions 1 to 601 of the family's 2925-position model. The record is from RNAcentral. RNAcentral also lists the same sequence under 1 other name. Lineage: Bacteria; Pseudomonadati; Pseudomonadota; Gammaproteobacteria; Enterobacterales; Enterobacteriaceae.